GUCAUUUUCCACGAUCAUCCUCAUAGUCACUCACACGUUCAAAAGAAAAUUGCUGGAAUUUUCUGGAGUUAGCAAGCCAACUCAAAAGCAAAAUGAGGUUUUGGAGUUCGCAUGGACAAUAAUCUAUACCUGUCGGAACACCAUAGCAAACGGGAGAAGCUCCGAUCAAGAAAGGUAGAUUACAAGCUUUGCGAGCUUGCCCCAUGAAUGAACCAAUCUUGGGUCUGCGGUUACAAGUACUACACACACUCACACAACUAUCAGGAGAACCAGCUAAGAGAUAGCAGAGUGGGGUACCAUGGGGAGCAUAACAUCCGCUCAUAGACAAAGAUCCACUACAGCAACCCAUGAGUAGAGUAGCAGCACAUCUAUUGAGCUUCUUAAUCUCGUGUUCAUUAACAUAUUGGGAUCCUGAAGUUCAACAGGUACAUUCAAGUGUCAUUUAUCAACACAGGUAGUCUAUAAAGAUGCAAAGAAUAAGGAUAAACUAGCCACGGAAGUCAUUAUCCAGUCAUAGCAAUUGCAAAAAGUUCAAAUAAUCCAUACCACUUCCAUGGCCAAUAUAAAUGAAGAGGUCAUAGAUUUUCAAUGCCCCCACCAAUUCUUCACUUUUAGGCACAGUUCCUGUCUUCCCCUGUAAAGCAAGUCAAGCAAGCAUUUGAUGUAUAUGCUACGACCUUGCAUUUCAAGUUUCAAAUAAAAAGUAGCAAACUAGUACAAUGCAGUAAAAAACACUUGACUAAUGACACACGUGAACAGAUGAUCGUUGUCUAUUCCCAGAAAGCAUAGAUUUGAAUGCAAUUUGAACUACAUAUUCCUGUUUUCCAACUGUCUAGCUAAUCAAGAAAUAAUUACCUCAAACUUCUGAUCUCUGAACCAAUUCUCAAAUUCAACCUGUGUGCGGCUAAGAUCACCACUGGGAUUCAACACAUAAAAGGAAUCCAAGGGAUCUAUAACUGGGAAAGCUUCACCCUGCUCAGGCAGCUGAUCCUGAUACUGAUGGCAUCUAGCAAGUGUGGUACAGAUACUGCCAACAGAAGGCAUGCGAUAGACUUCUUCAUUUCUUAGUAUUGGUAGACUCUCCCAAGGAAGCAUCUGCAUGGAGUUUUUGAUCAAUUACUAGAUCUAGAAAUUGCCUUUCCUUUCAUCCUUUUAUUCCAAAAAAUAUAUGUAAAUGAACAUGGUAUGAUUCGUCACCGACUGCACAAGUCACUCAAGUACCUGAUUGAGCUGUAUCCAGCUAGGGUAGUUGAAGAACAAACAAGCUUAUGUUAUUUUGUUAAUACUUGCAGUUAAUGUCAAUCAGAUUAUCCAAGCA
Molecule: non-coding RNA, 1318 nt
Organism: Coffea arabica (coffee)
Lineage: Eukaryota; Viridiplantae; Streptophyta; Magnoliopsida; Gentianales; Rubiaceae
Source: RefSeq, a predicted model, not a curated record